AAAUUGAAGAGUUUGAUCAUGGCUCAGAUUGAACGCUGGCGGCAGGCCUAACACAUGCAAGUCGAGCGGUAGCACAGAGAGCUUGCUCUCGGGUGACGAGCGGCGGACGGGUGAGUAAUGUCUGGGAAACUGCCUGAUGGAGGGGGAUAACUACUGGAAACGGUAGCUAAUACCGCAUAACGUCGCAAGACCAAAGUGGGGGACCUUCGGGCCUCAUGCCAUCAGAUGUGCCCAGAUGGGAUUAGCUGGUAGGUGGGGUAACGGCUCACCUAGGCGACGAUCCCUAGCUGGUCUGAGAGGAUGACCAGCCACACUGGAACUGAGACACGGUCCAGACUCCUACGGGAGGCAGCAGUGGGGAAUAUUGCACAAUGGGCGCAAGCCUGAUGCAGCCAUGCCGCGUGUGUGAAGAAGGCCUUCGGGUUGUAAAGC
Molecule: ribosomal RNA, 432 nt
Filed under: Klebsiella variicola
Lineage: Bacteria; Pseudomonadati; Pseudomonadota; Gammaproteobacteria; Enterobacterales; Enterobacteriaceae
Also listed under: 1 other name
Description: bacterial SSU rRNA
Rfam family: Bacterial small subunit ribosomal RNA
Source: RNAcentral